CCUACGGGAGGCAGCAGUGAGGAAUAUUGGUCAAUGGGGGAAACCCUGAAGCAGCAACGCCGCGUGGAGGAAGAAGGUUUUCGGAUCGUAAACUUCUGUUGUUAGAGAAGAUCAUGACGGUUUCUAACUAAUCAGCCCCUGAGAAUUACGUGCCAGCAGCCGAGGUAUUACGGAGUGUGCAAGCUGUCCUCGGAACCACUGGGCGUAAAGAGCUCGUAGGCGGGAUAGCAAGUCAGAUGUGAAAUCCUAUGGCUUAACCUGAGAACUGCAUUGGAAACUGGGAGUCUAGAGUAUGGAAGAGGUAGGUGGAAUUCUUGGUGUAGGGGUAAAAUCCGUAGAGAUCAAGAGGAAUACU
RNAcentral lists this ribosomal RNA (355 nucleotides) under uncultured bacterium. Its description in RNAcentral is "partial 16S ribosomal RNA". It matches the Rfam family "Bacterial small subunit ribosomal RNA", at positions 338 to 710 of the family's 1533-position model. The record is from RNAcentral.